RNAcentral lists this long non-coding RNA (251 nucleotides) under Rattus norvegicus (Norway rat). Its description in RNAcentral is "long non-coding RNA NONRATT009089". The record is from RNAcentral. Lineage: Eukaryota; Metazoa; Chordata; Mammalia; Rodentia; Muridae.
CUCCCGAUCCCCGGGCCGGGCACCCAAAGGUUCCAGAAGAUCAGUCUCUGCUUCCUACCAGGCUGACGCUAAGGAAAAGGAAAUGAGGAGGGAGAUUUUGCAAGUUAAAUUGACUCCGCUCGUGCUGGUACUUGUUCCAUCUGUCCGCCCCGCACUGGCUUCCCUUUAUACACAUUUAUUCGUAUUAUUUGCACUUUUGUUAGCAAGUAUUUGAAAUACAAAGUAUAGUUUCUUUGAAUAUCCAAGAAAAA